Mya arenaria is the source of this 4183-nucleotide long non-coding RNA. RefSeq lists it as uncharacterized. The record is from RefSeq and is a predicted model, not a curated record. The transcript is spliced from 3 exons. NCBI's taxonomy places the organism in Eukaryota, Metazoa, Mollusca, Bivalvia, Myida, Myidae.
GCCCUUUCUUUGAUACUGACUGAACGCCAUAUAGUUUCAAGUUAAAGAAAGGUUGUCGUUGAAAAAUGCUUAAUUUAUCGUUAUCACGGAUGUUUUGGAUGAAUUACAUCGGUUGCUCGGGCUUCAUUCAUUUGCAUAAAAUGUCUGCGACUGAUGAGUACUGUUGCUAGGCGUUACAAAGAGAGAAGUUCCGGAAGAGCUGCCUACAAAAGAAAGAAACCCAGCAACUGGUACUCGCCGGUCCAAAAAACCAGCGAUCGGAGAGGACAGUUAAAAAGUUCUAGCGAAACAGAAAGAAUGGGUGACAAAACAAGUGAGCAAACUGACAAAGCCGCAACUUCAGGCAGCAAUUACGAGGGCAAUCGAAACGGAGCCAGUGCGUGUGCUGCUUGUUUUAGCAGCCCCGGGCAAUCAACCUGGAGAUGGUGCCCACGAGACCGAGAAAAGGAUUAAACUCCACGCUGGUAUGUGUGCGGCAACUGCCGGGACAUGCCAACACAAAGAGAAAGACACUAAUGUAACUAAACGUUAAGUAAAGUAGUUAUAGAUAAACAAUUUUAUUAAAUGUCAUGUGUCAUUAGAAAAUAAUUGUACAUUAUUUAAUACUGCUGGUCAGUUCUUGAGAUUUUUACUGAGAAAUGGAUACCUGAUAACUCAUUUUCUACUGAUUACUGCUAACGUAGUCUUGUGAAGUUUCAAAGAACAGCAUUCUGAGUAUCAUCAUAAGGCUUUAAAUAUCUUAACAUGCAUGUAGUCACACACAGAUAGAACAAAUUGAAUUGUUGGACGAUAUGAAAUAUGGGCAGUUUUCUUGUAUUAAACAGUUGUAAGAUAUUUUAAAUGCUGGCACAGUUUGUCUCUAAACCAAGUAAUUAAAAAUACCGAUACUAUUGUUAAGGUGAGCACUGAGUAUUGCUGAGUACUUGCUUGAAAAUUUGUACUGAAGUAAGAAUGAUAUAAAUUAGCUCAUCCCUGAAUAUUUCUUAUUUAAAAUCUUAGCCUAAGUAUCUUCGAUUAAUGCCAGUGGCUUAUGAUAUACCUUUCCUCUUAAAGGACUUUGACCUCCUUGUUUUGAACAAGGGGGUUCUAGCCCUAACCCGUUUGAUGAGGCGAGAUAUCCUCGUGUUUACUGAAGGGGAGGACCUGCGAUGAUCCAACCACCAUCAGACUCACAGAUAAUUUAUAUUGUUGACGCAUGGUUAUUUUGGGGCUGGUGAAUUCCCUCAUGUGGUGUAUGGAGAAUCCGGGAAACUUUCCCUGAUCCAAAUGGACAAAGCACAGGCUUUGUGACAGGUCGGGUUCACUCGAUGAACACAACUACUGCAUAAACUAUCAAGGAUCUCUAAUCAUUUUUAAAAUGUUAAAGUAAAAUGAUAUUAAAACAUAAUGACCAUGUCAAGUUUAUGUAUAUUAUUGUAUAUGACUUGUUUUCCAAAUACGAAUUUGAACUGUCCUUGAUUGCUAAAAUGUCAUUAACUGAUCAUCCUUAUUUCGAUUUUUAUGCCAGAAAUCCUGUCUUUUAUGUAUAUUCAUGUUAUUGUGAAUAUUUUCUUUUCUGCGCAAAAGCUGUUUUAAAUGAUGCUUAAGUGAUAUGUCCGUUUGCAUACAACUUGCACAUGUUUAAACUUUGCCUGAUACCUUUGUCAGCCUUGUUUAGAAACAAUCAAAUGGACUUAUGGCAGGCCUUUUUUUGAUACUGCCCAUUACUUAAGGCCAAAAAAAAACCCUGUGUUUCCGAAAACCCGACCGACCUUAUUUUUUUCCUCGCCGACCCUAUUUUUUUAAGCAUAAAGGUUAAAAUUUCAAAACUAUAUAUAUCGUCGUUAUGUUCGUUGUUUCUCUGGAUGGAUCCUAUGCGAUCGGAGAAUAAACUUUCAUUCCUAAUAUGUAUGACAGAGACGAUUUGUCAACAGCAAAACAAAAUGGCGGAGUCUGUGGAAUGUCCGCAUUUUUCGGGCAUAUAUGCUUAAGAUCUUUUCUCAACAGCAUUGCACUUUUAAGCGGAUGUCGGCGAACAUUUCACCCUGUCCGAUAUCUUAUAAUAGGCAAACGCUUGUUAUCGGUCCAGACGCGUUAUUUAUCACAGAAGACACAUUUUGCUGCCGUUACCUUGAAAUUUUUGGAUAUUGUUCGCGGUGUUAUUUAUCCAUGUCCGAAAUACACUAACUUCUUUCUAACGAUUAGGCUUUGCGUGUAUCAUGCAGGCUAACUGCCAGGUUUCAAUACACAUUUCAUUAAUCGUUACCAUAAUUUAUCCGCAAUUAUCAAGUUCUAUUUAUUUCGCCUAAUUAAAGUCCCAUCAACUGAAAUUCAAACAAACAACUGCAAAAGUUAACUUAUUAACACAUGUUUUGGAAUGAGUCGGCUGUAGAUCAAACAGUACAAUUUGUGACGCCUGAGCACGAGUGGUGAUUAGAUGAAAGGCGCGCGGAAAUGGUUUGUAUUUAAAUCGGUCAGUCGGAUACUGUUUUAUCCCAUUUUACUUCCAAGAGUUCGUCUAGACUGGUUAGAAAAUGCCAUUCGAUCGAAAAAGAAUAAUAAUCAAUAACCGAGACCUUUCAAGUCAUGACGGAAAUGUUUGAAUUCACUAUUAAUAUGAAUGAACCUUUGAUUGUACGAAAAUAAGAUACGUAAAAUAAAUCCAUAACCGCGUUACCUUGUUCGAUUAUAAACCUCGCUCACAGUUAAGAAGAAAAUCGGCGAUUUUCUUCAAGCAAAUUAACAAAAUAGGUUGAUAAUUGACUGUUUUGCUUGAACAUUAUCACAGUUUUGGAGUAAGUGAAGCGCUGGACUUGCUUUAAAAAUCGACCAAGUCUUAUAAACGAAUCUAUACAAAAACACCAGAUUCCAUGGGCAAAAUAGGCGAUGUAACACGGUAGUCAAAGGAAAAAAAAUGAUUUCAGACAUUAAACAAUCCUGUUUUACUGAUUUUUUGUAAAUUUUGAAACGCUUACAUAUAACAUAGUUAAUACGAUGCAGCAGAAUAAUGCAUGAUCCUGCAAUUUGAAAUCGAAAAUGAAAAUAAAUCCGACCGACCGACCUUAUUAUUUUUCGCCAUAUAACCGGAAAUAAAGGUAUUUAUUUGGCCUAAGUAUAAAAUAAAUUUAUGCAAUAAACAAUCUUUCCCAAAAAGAAAAACAGCAGGUAAAUAACUGUUAAAUAAAAUUUUAUUGAAAAAACCCAAACAUUUCCUUUAUGUUAAGAUUAUUUUCUUGUAACAACACCAUUUCAUGCAAGAGUCACAUAUAUAUUGCUGUUUUUAAGGAGCUAUAUUAUGUUUUGAAGACAUUGGAGUAUAAACUCUGAUCAUUUUCAAGUUAGGUAAUAAUCUACUCUAAAAACUCGUCAAUCAAUCGAACACAUAAUUAUGUAAAUAGAUUAAUUGAGCUCGAGUAACUGUUUACUAACUAAUACGAAACACUCUUGAUAACGAUAAAGUUCAUUUGUUUACGGCCAACUCUUCUAUAAAUGGAAUUUGUAUGGUUAACAUUUAAUAAAGAAGAAUGUCAUCUUGUCAAGUACUCUUCAUAACAAUAAAUAAACUAUGUAUCAUCGGUGACCUAUCUGUAACUUGAAACUAUAUGGCAUAUAUGCACUAUCAAAGUAAAAGCUUGAAUAACGUGAAAAAUGAUACUUCUAUCAAAAAAUUAUACAGAAUGAUCUGUUUGCUUCUCUCACUAUGCUUAUAUCAAUAAAACACGUUUGUCACAUGUAUGACGAUUAAAGCAUGAACCUUAUUAGUUAGACCCUAGUUCUCAUUAUUCAAAUAUGAGUAAAAUGAUAUAUUGGUAUUUAAUUUAAAUAACACUGAUAGUGACACAUCAAACCAUAACGGUACUUGACCAUAACAUUUUAGUUUAUGAUACAAAUACAUUUACAUAAAUAAAUUCUUUAAAUAUAUGAUAUUAAUAAUUGAUUGAUAAUUUAAUACUAUUCAAAUAAAGAGUAGAAACGGAGAGAAACGCAAUAGUUGUUUGCGCAAGCACGAUCAAGUUUGCUUAGAAAGUAUAGUGAUUAUUUAUUAUUUUUUACUGCAAUAAAGUUAUCUUCAUAAGGUCAUCCAUAUGAUACAAUUUGGUAUUGUUUUUCUGUUCUUUUAACCAACGGUGUAAAAUGUCAUCAAAACAAUAAAAAGGUUACUUAUCAAAAAGUCGUGACCGUCUGUGCAGAAGCUGAUUAAUGA